UGAUUGUUCAAGGAUUCAGCUCAAU
RNAcentral lists this non-coding RNA (25 nucleotides) under Rattus norvegicus (Norway rat). Lineage: Eukaryota; Metazoa; Chordata; Mammalia; Rodentia; Muridae. The record is from RNAcentral.